Molecule: ribosomal RNA, 824 nt
Filed under: Achroiostachys levigata
Lineage: Eukaryota; Fungi; Ascomycota; Sordariomycetes; Hypocreales; Stachybotryaceae
Description: eukaryotic LSU rRNA
Rfam family: Eukaryotic large subunit ribosomal RNA
Source: RNAcentral
AUUGCCUCAGUAACGGCGAGUGAAGCGGCAACAGCUCAAAUUUGAAAUCUGGCCCCAGGCCCGAGUUGUAAUUUGCAGAGGAUGCUUUUGGCGAGGUGCCUUCCGAGUUCCCUGGAACGGGACGCCAUAGAGGGUGAGAGCCCCGUCUGGUCGGACACCGAGCCUCUGUAAAGCUCCUUCGACGAGUCGAGUAGUUUGGGAAUGCUGCUCUAAAUGGGAGGUAUAUGUCUUCUAAAGCUAAAUACCGGCCAGAGACCGAUAGCGCACAAGUAGAGUGAUCGAAAGAUGAAAAGCACUUUGGAAAGAGAGUUAAAUAGCACGUGAAAUUGUUGAAAGGGAAGCGUUUACGACCAGACUUGGGCCGGUUGAUCAUCCAGCGUUCUCGCUGGUGCACUCUGCCGGCCCAGGCCAGCAUCAGUUCGCCCCGGGGGAUAAAGGCGGCGGGAAUGUGGCUCCUCGGAGUGUUAUAGCCCGCCGUGCAAUACCCUGAGGUGGACUGAGGUUCGCGCUCUGCAAGGAUGCUGGCGUAAUGGUCGUCAACGACCCGUCUUGAAACACGGACCAAGGAGUCGUCUUCGUAUGCGAGUGUUCGGGUGUAAAACCCCUACGCGUAAUGAAAGUGAACGCAGGUGAGAGCUUCGGCGCAUCAUCGACCGAUCCUGAUGUUCUCGGAUGGAUUUGAGUAAGAGCAUACGGGGCCGGACCCGAAAGAAGGUGAACUAUGCCUGUAUAGGGUGAAGCCAGAGGAAACUCUGGUGGAGGCUCGCAGCGGUUCUGACGUGCAAAUCGAUCGUCAAAUAUGGGCAUGGGCGCGAAAGACUAAU